Molecule: long non-coding RNA, 567 nt
Organism: Chiroxiphia lanceolata (lance-tailed manakin)
Lineage: Eukaryota; Metazoa; Chordata; Aves; Passeriformes; Pipridae
Exons: 4
Source: RefSeq, a predicted model, not a curated record
AGAGAAACCAUCUCCUUCUGUGAGCAAAUUAAUUUCUCUUGUAAAAGGACUCACAUUAGGCCUUCAGCUCUUCAGCUAAGGUACCAAGACAGCCUUCCUUGUCAUGGAAGUGCCUUUGUAGGUAGAUGCUCCCGUUGACUUGGACUGAAGCUCCCAAGGGAUCACCUUAGCCAAGCCCAGUCACCCUGAACACACUGUCUCCUUGGAGCUGACACCUGCAGGUCAAGCUACAGUCAAGGCUACCAGUAGACAGCCUGAUCCCACUCUCCCUGUGCACAGGGCAGACACAUCAAGCCUGGGCUGCAGUAUGUGACAACAGAAGAAGGGAAAGGACAACAGUGAAGGAAAUACUUGAGAUCUCAAGAGAUUCUUUGUGAUGCUCCUGCGAACUGGAUAAGAAGAUACCAAUGCAAAAAAUAUCCAUCUAAUAUAUACACAUACUGGCUUUUUCCUUGAAAGACUGCCUGGCCUCUGGAACCUCAGUUUCUCAGGAUUGCAGCUGGAAAGAGAACCCCCAAGAUUCACCUACCCAGGAAAAAUUCUUAGAAUUGGAACCAGAAAGAUACU